This 315-nucleotide ribosomal RNA is filed under the name uncultured eukaryote. RNAcentral describes it as "partial 18S ribosomal RNA". It matches the Rfam family "Eukaryotic small subunit ribosomal RNA", at positions 1470 to 1796 of the family's 1831-position model. The record is from RNAcentral.
CCCUUAGAUGUUCUGGGCCGCACGCGCGCUACACUGAUGCAUUCAACGAGUUUCUUCCUGGUCCGAGAGGAAUGGGUAACCUUUUGAAAGUGCAUCGUGAUAGGGAUAGACUAUUGCAAUUAUUGGUCUUCAACGAGGAAUUCCUAGUAGACGUAGUUCAUCAGACUGCAUUGAUUACGUCCCUGCCCUUUGUACACACCGCCCGUCGCACCUACCGAUUGAAUGGUCCGGUGAAGCCUCCGGAUUGGCGCGCACCUCGGUGCCGCCGAGAAGUUGGCUAAACCUUACCAUUUAGAGGAAGGUGAAGUCGUAACA